Molecule: ribosomal RNA, 497 nt
Filed under: uncultured bacterium
Lineage: Bacteria
Description: partial 16S ribosomal RNA
Rfam family: Bacterial small subunit ribosomal RNA
Source: RNAcentral
GAUGAACGCUGGCGGCGUGCCUAAUACAUGCAAGUCGAGCGAACGGUCGAGAAGCUUGCUUCUCUGAUGUUAGCGGCGGACGGGUGAGUAACACGUGGAUAACCUACCUAUAAGACUGGGAUAACUUCGGGAAACCGUAGCUAAUACCGGAUAAUAUUUUGAACCGCAUGGUUCAAAAGUGAAAGACGGUCUUGCUGUCACUUAUAGAUGGAUCCGCGCUGCAUUAGCUAGUUGGUAAGGUAACGGCUUACCGAGGCAACGAUGCAUAGCCGACCUGAGAGGGUGAUCGGCCACACUGGAACUGAGACACGGUCCAGACUCCUACGGGAGGCAGCAGUAGGGAAUCUUCCGCAAUGGGCGAAAGCCUGACGGAGCAACGCCGCGUGAGUGAUGAAGGUCUUCGGAUCGUAAAACUCUGUUAUUAGGGAAGAACAUAUGUGUAAGUAACUGUGCACAUCUUGACGGUACCUAAUCAGAAAGCCACGGCUAACUACGUG